This 460-nucleotide ribosomal RNA is filed under the name uncultured bacterium. Its description in RNAcentral is "partial 16S ribosomal RNA". It matches the Rfam family "Bacterial small subunit ribosomal RNA", at positions 338 to 795 of the family's 1533-position model. The record is from RNAcentral.
ACUACGGGCGGCAGCAGUGAGGAAUAUUGGUCAAUGGACGAGAGUCUGAACCAGCCAAGUAGCGUGAAGGAUGACGGCCCUAUGGGUUGUAAACUGCUUUUAUAAAGGAAUAAAACGAGGCACGUGUGCCUUUUUGCAUGUACCUUAUGAAUAAGGAUCGGCUAACUCCGUGCCAGCAGCCGCGGUAAUACGGAGGAUCCGAGCGUUAUCCGGAUUUAUUGGGUUUAAAGGGCGCGUAGCUGGGUUGUUAAGUCAGUUGUGACAGUUUGCGGCUCAACCGUAAAAUUGCAAUUGAUACUGGCAGUCUUGAGUACAGUUGAGGUAGGCGGAAUUCCUGGUGUAGCGGUGAAAUGCUUAGAUAUCACGCAGAACCCCGAUUGCGAAGGCAGCUUACUAAACUGUGCCUGACAUUGAUGCUCGAAAGUGUGGGUAUCAAACAGGAUUAGAUACCCCUGUAGUC